This 27-nucleotide non-coding RNA is filed under the name Mus musculus (house mouse). The record is from RNAcentral. Lineage: Eukaryota; Metazoa; Chordata; Mammalia; Rodentia; Muridae.
UGAAGUAAAAAUGAUUUCCUGGUUAGC